CAGCGUGGAAAGUGAAAGGGGGCUUCAAUCUGAUUCACAGGAGUGUUUGCUGGCAAAGUGUUUACCUUUGGGCCAAGAGUGCAUCAAAUUCGUUGAAGAUGAGGAGGAAAGGAGAGUGGCAGAUGGACUGUGCGAGGUGAAGUUCCAGAUGUGUUGUGCCACCUGUCUGGGCAGUAGGGGGCGCACAUGGGCUGCGUAAAGAAGGACAUCCCCAAUCGACCAUCCAACGCACCCAA
This is a long non-coding RNA of Callorhinchus milii (elephant shark), 236 nucleotides long. RefSeq lists it as uncharacterized. The record is from RefSeq and is a predicted model, not a curated record. Lineage: Eukaryota; Metazoa; Chordata; Chondrichthyes; Chimaeriformes; Callorhinchidae. The transcript has 3 exons.